GGGCCCGCACAAGCGGUGGAGCAUGUGGUUUAAUUCGAUGAUACGCGAGGAACCUUACCAGGGCUUAAAUGUAGGUUGCAUGAUCUAGAGAUAGAUCUUUCUUCGGACUACCUACAAGGUGCUGCAUGGUUGUCGUCAGCUCGUGCCGUGAGGUGUCAGGUUAAGUCCUAUAACGAGCGCAACCCCUGUCGUUAGUUACCAGCAAUUAAAGUUGGGUACUCUAGCGAGACUGCCGGUGCAAACCGUGAGGAAGGUGGGGAUGACGUCAAAUCAUCACGGCCCUUACGUCCUGGGCUACACACGUGCUACAAUGGCCGGUACAGAGAGCAGCCACUACGCGAGUAGGAGCGAAUCUUCAAAGCCGGUCUCAGUUCGGAUCGCAGUCUGCAACUCGACUCUAUGAAGCUGGAAUCGCUAGUAAUCGCGCAU
Molecule: ribosomal RNA, 429 nt
Filed under: uncultured bacterium
Lineage: Bacteria
Description: bacterial SSU rRNA
Rfam family: Bacterial small subunit ribosomal RNA
Source: RNAcentral